Molecule: transfer RNA, 71 nt
Filed under: Lepisosteus oculatus (spotted gar)
Lineage: Eukaryota; Metazoa; Chordata; Actinopteri; Semionotiformes; Lepisosteidae
Rfam family: tRNA
About the family: Transfer RNA (tRNA) molecules are approximately 80 nucleotides in length.
Source: Rfam by way of RNAcentral
GCUAUGGUAGCUCAGAUGGCAAGGGUAUCUAGCUCCUAACUGGAAGGUCCUGGGUUCAAUCCUAGGUAGCA